GGGUGAUCUGGCCNUAAGUUCUGUCACCCCACUGAUUGCCAGAGUUGAUCUGGCUGAUGCAUCUGGUUAGAUGGAGUCCCCUUUCUACAUCAUGAGUGUCCCUUCCAAAGCUGUGCACUCAGAUGAAGAGAACAAUCUUUUCUGAUGAGGAAGACCAUUUCUUGCUGCAC
Molecule: small nuclear RNA, 170 nt
Filed under: Neotoma lepida (desert woodrat)
Lineage: Eukaryota; Metazoa; Chordata; Mammalia; Rodentia; Cricetidae
Description: 7SK RNA
Rfam family: 7SK RNA
About the family: 7SK was discovered as an abundant small nuclear RNA in the mid-70s but a possible function has only recently been suggested. Two independent studies have found that 7SK RNA binds the CDK9/cyclin T complex (known as elongation factor P-TEFb).
Source: Rfam by way of RNAcentral